GGCUUAAGCGUGUGUAGGCGGAUCGUUAAGUGCCUUGUGAAAUCCCACGGCUUAACUGUGGAACGGCUGGGCAUACUGGCGGUCUUGAGCCAUCUAGGGGCGACUGGAACAAACGGUGGAGCGGUGAAAUGCGUAGAUAUCGUUUGGAACGCCAAUGGUGAAAACAGGUCGCUGGGGAUGAGCUGACGCUGAGACACGAAAGCCAGGGGAGCAAACGGGAUUAGAUACCCCGGUAGUCCUGGCCCUAAACGAUGUCCACUAGAUCAUGGUUCCUCUGACGGAUUCAUGGUCGAAGCAAAAGUGCUAAGUGGACCGCCUGGGAAGUACGGUCGCAAGGCUAAAACUCAAAGGAAUUGACGGGGGCUCACACAAGCGGUGGAGCAUGUGGUUCAAUUCGAAGCAACGCGCAGAACCUUACCUGGGCUUGACAUGCUUGGAUUAUCCCUAUGAAAGUAGGGUAGGCCCUUCGGGGUACAACAAGUACAGGUGCUGCAUGGCUGUCGUCAGCUCGUGUCGUGAGAUGUCGGGUUAAGUCCCAUAACGAGCGAAACCUUUGCCCUUAGUUACCAGCGGGUUAAGCCGGGGACUCUAAGGGGACUGCCGGUGUCAAACCGGAGGAAGG
Molecule: ribosomal RNA, 622 nt
Filed under: uncultured bacterium
Lineage: Bacteria
Description: bacterial SSU rRNA
Rfam family: Bacterial small subunit ribosomal RNA
Source: RNAcentral